GUCACAUCUCGACUUUAAUUCCUUAUCUAGAGGUAAAGGCUUUGGGUGAAGAUGACUGUAUCUCUACCCCUGAUGUUGAACAAAAUAAUGACACUAAUAAUCUUUGUGUUCGCAGGAAGGCUGCGAUAUUAAGUGAGCAGCGAACACGAGAAUAUUUGAAUAUGUAGGUUAAGUAUGACUGAAUUUUUAUACAAUUUACAUAUUAAAUUGUAUCCCUGGCCUGCAAUGUCCAGAAAAUUACGAAUAUCAUUCGUAACUUUCCAUUUUUUGUUUGUAUUAACCGCAUAUUUUGACUCAAAGGGAGUAAGUAGUUGUUUGAUAGUUUUAAGUUGGUAUUCAAUUAGAUUGUUUUCAUUUUUAACCCUCUUCCAUUGGUUCCCUUAUUACCUUGUUAUACUAUACAAGCCGAUAUGGUUAUGUUCUGAAAGACAGAAGGAGUCAUCACUCAGUCCGCAGUAUGGCAGCAACUCCUCCUCCUAUUCCUCUAAGCCUUCUGUGAAAUUACUAAUCUUCGUGUUCAAGUGUUUUUCGCAGAUGUGUUUCUUCGUCGAUAAUUAUACAGUGAGGAAUAUAAACAAUAUGUGGAUGUUGUAAAACUCUCACUGGAUCACUGGAUAGCUUCUUCGAUUGGUUUGCCACGACCAUGUGCCACGUCGAGAUGUAUGCAGUUCUGAAGUCUUCGUCCUCGAGUUAUGACCAAGGGCUUACUUUGAUGUAUUCAGCAUCGUUGUGUGUGAUUGAGCCCAAGUGGAGUCCUAGCUUGAUGUGUCGUAUAAUUGGCUCCUUUAUCUGCAACUUGCUCUUGUGGUGAACGUCGUCGUCACUUCCACUUAUAUGCCUCUCUGGACAAUAACAGGACAGAGUGGUUACGAACUAAACAUAUUCACUGAAAAGGACUUUCUCGCUUCGUCUACGUUUUGGAUGAGGUCCUUUCGUCGACAGGAAUUCCAUUUAACUAUAAAGCGGUCUAACAUACGAAUGUACUAUUUGGCUUGCCACCUUCAGCGUGUUUGUUGUUAAUUGUAAGGUGUUAAUAAUUAUAUUAAUCUGUAUGUUAA
Molecule: long non-coding RNA, 1058 nt
Organism: Macrobrachium nipponense
Lineage: Eukaryota; Metazoa; Arthropoda; Malacostraca; Decapoda; Palaemonidae
Exons: 2
Source: RefSeq, a predicted model, not a curated record